CCUACGGGAGGCAGCAGUGAGGAAUAUUGGUCAAUGGGCGCGAGCCUGAACCAGCCAAGUAGCGUGAAGGAUGACUGCCCUACGGGUUGUAAACUUCUUUUAUAAAGGAAUAAAGUGAGGCACGUGUGCCUUUUUGUAUGUACUUUAUGAAUAAGGAUCGGCUAACUCCGUGCCAGCAGCCGCGGUAAUACGGAGGAUCCGAGCGUUAUCCGGAUUUAUUGGGUUUAAAGGGAGCGUAGAUGGGUUGUUAAGUCAGUUGUGAAAGUUUGCGGCUCAACCGUAAAAUUGCAAUUGAUACUGGCAGUCGUGAGUACAGUUGAGGUAGGCGGAAUUCGUGGUGUAGCGGUGAAAUGCUUAGAUAUCACGAAGAACUCCGAUGGCGAAGGCAGCUUACUGGACAGUAACUGACGUUGAGGCUCGAAAGCGUGGGGAGCAAACAGGAUUAGAUACCCGAGUAGUC
RNAcentral lists this ribosomal RNA (460 nucleotides) under uncultured bacterium. Its description in RNAcentral is "partial 16S ribosomal RNA". It matches the Rfam family "Bacterial small subunit ribosomal RNA", at positions 338 to 795 of the family's 1533-position model. The record is from RNAcentral.